This 253-nucleotide ribosomal RNA is filed under the name uncultured bacterium. RNAcentral describes it as "partial 16S ribosomal RNA". It matches the Rfam family "Bacterial small subunit ribosomal RNA", at positions 524 to 776 of the family's 1533-position model. The record is from RNAcentral.
UACGUAGGGUGCAAGCGUUGUCCGGAAUUAUUGGGCGUAAAGAGCUCGUAGGCGGUCUGUCACGUCUGCUGUGAAAACUCGGGGCUUAACCCCGGGCCUGCAGUGGGUACGGGCAGACUAGAGUGCGGUAGGGGAGACUGGAAUUCCUGGUGUAGCGGUGAAAUGCGCAGAUAUCAGGAGGAACACCGGUGGCGAAGGCGGGUCUCUGGGCCUGUUCUGACGCUGAGGCGCGAAAGCUAGGGGAGCGAACAGG